GCGGGAUCUUGAAUCAUGUGAUAAAAAUUGCAAAGAAGAAUGUUCAAAGACAAUAUUUCGAACAAACAUAAUGGAAAGGCCCAUUAUACUAUCUUCAUCACCAUCAGGAGAUAAAUUAGGCUAUAUAUCCGUAGACGUAGAGGUUUUCGAUGAUAACAUAAUGCAUUACGAAUACGUUCCGAAAUAUGAGG
This is a non-coding RNA of Parasteatoda tepidariorum (common house spider), 191 nucleotides long. NCBI's taxonomy places the organism in Eukaryota, Metazoa, Arthropoda, Arachnida, Araneae, Theridiidae. The record is from RefSeq and is a predicted model, not a curated record.